GAUGAACGCUGGCGGCGUGCUUAACACAUGCAAGUCGAACGAAGCACUUUAACCUGAUUCUUCGGAUGAAGGUUUUUGUGACUGAGUGGCGGACGGGUGAGUAACGCGUGGGUAACCUGCCUCAUACAGGGGGAUAACAGUUAGAAAUGACUGCUAAUACCGCAUAAGACCACAGAGCCGCAUGGCUCGGUGGGAAAAACUCCGGUGGUAUGAGAUGGACCCGCGUCUGAUUAGGUAGUUGGUGGGGUAACGGCCUACCAAGCCAACGAUCAGUAGCCGACCUGAGAGGGUGACCGGCCACAUUGGGACUGAGACACGGCCCAAACUCCUACGGGAGGCAGCAGUGGGGAAUAUUGCACAAUGGGGGAAACCCUGAUGCAGCGACGCCGCGUGAGCGAAGAAGUAUUUCGGUAUGUAAAGCUCUAUCAGCAGGGAAGAAAAUGACGGUACCUGACUAAGAAGCACCGGCUAAAUACGUG
Molecule: ribosomal RNA, 479 nt
Filed under: uncultured bacterium
Lineage: Bacteria
Description: partial 16S ribosomal RNA
Rfam family: Bacterial small subunit ribosomal RNA
Source: RNAcentral